RNAcentral lists this ribosomal RNA (499 nucleotides) under uncultured bacterium. Its description in RNAcentral is "partial 16S ribosomal RNA". It matches the Rfam family "Bacterial small subunit ribosomal RNA", at positions 28 to 507 of the family's 1533-position model. The record is from RNAcentral.
GACGAACGCUGGCGGCGUGCCUAAUACAUGCAAGUCGUGCGGAACUUUUAAAAGCUUGCUUUUAACAGGUUAGCGGCGGACGGGUGAGUAACACGUGGGCAACCUGCCUGUAAGACUGGGAUAACGCCGGGAAACCGGGGCAAAUACCAGAUCGUUUUUUCCUCCGUAUGGAGGAAAAAGGAAAGGCGGCUUCGGCUGCUACUUACAGAUGGGCUCGCGGCGCAUUAGGUAGUUGGCGGGGUAACGGCCCACCAAGGCAACGAUGCGUAGCCGACCGGAGGGGGUGAUCAGCCGCAUUGGGAGGGAGACACGGCCCAAACUCCUACGGGAGGCAGCAGUAGGGAAUCUUCCGCAAUGGGCGGGAGUCUGACGGAGCAACGCCGCGUGAGUAAAGAAGACCGUCGGGUCGGAAAACUCUGUUGCCGGGGAAGAACAAGUGCCGUUCGAACAGGGCGGCUCCUUGACGGUACCCGGCCAGAAAGCCACGGCUAACUACGUG